This 354-nucleotide ribosomal RNA is filed under the name uncultured Anoxybacillus sp. RNAcentral's name for it is "bacterial SSU rRNA". It matches the Rfam family "Bacterial small subunit ribosomal RNA", at positions 1029 to 1382 of the family's 1533-position model. Lineage: Bacteria; Bacillati; Bacillota; Bacilli; Caryophanales; Anoxybacillaceae. The record is from RNAcentral.
GGGUGACAGGUGGUGCAUGGUUGUCGUCAGCUCGUGUCGUGAGAUGUUGGGUUAAGUCCCGCAACGAGCGCAACCCUCGACCUUAGUUGCCAGCAUUCAGUUGGGCACUCUAAGGUGACUGCCGGCUAAAAGUCGGAGGAAGGUGGGGGAUGACGUCAAAUCAUCAUGCCCCUUAUGACCUGGGCUACACACGUGCUACAAUGGGCGGUACAAAGGGUCGCGAACCCGCGAGGGGGAGCCAAUCCCAAAAAGCCGCUCUCAGUUCGGAUUGCAGGCUGCAACUCGCCUGCAUGAAGCCGGAAUCGCUAGUAAUCGCGGAUCAGCAUGCCGCGGUCGAAUACGUUCCCGGGCCUU